This 527-nucleotide ribosomal RNA is filed under the name uncultured bacterium. Its description in RNAcentral is "bacterial SSU rRNA". It matches the Rfam family "Bacterial small subunit ribosomal RNA", at positions 791 to 1318 of the family's 1533-position model. The record is from RNAcentral.
UAGUCCACGCCGUAAACGAUGGACACUUGGUGUUGGAGGUAUUGACCCCUUCAGUGCCGAAGCUAACGCGUUAAGUGUCCCGCCUGGGGAGUACGGUCGCAAGAUUAAAACUCAAAGAAAUUGACGGGGGCCCGCACAAGCGGUGGAGCAUGUGGUUUAAUUCGAUGCAACGCGAAGAACCUUACCUGGCCUUGACAUCUAGGGGAAGACUACCAGAAAUGGUGUUGUCCUUCGGGACUCCUAGACAGGUGCUGCAUGGCUGUCGUCAGCUCGUGUCGUGAGAUGUUGGGUUAAGUCCCGCAACGAGCGCAACCCUUGCCAUUAGUUGCCAGCAUUUAGUUGGGCACUCUAAUGGGACUGCCGACUUUAAGUCGGAGGAAGGUGGGGAUGACGUCAAGUCCUCAUGGCCCUUAUGGCCAGGGCUACACACGUGCUACAAUGGCUGGUACAGGGGGAGGCAAACUCGCGAGAGUAAGCAAACCCCAAAAACCAGUACUAAGUUCGGAUUGAAGUCUGCAACUCGACUU